This 342-nucleotide long non-coding RNA is filed under the name Anser cygnoides (Swan goose). RNAcentral describes it as "lncRNA (ENSACDG00005010031.1)". Lineage: Eukaryota; Metazoa; Chordata; Aves; Anseriformes; Anatidae. The record is from RNAcentral.
CAGAGACAGGGAACCUUUUAUCAGGUAAUGUUACAUUUGAUUAAAUGGGUGCCUGUUUAAAUACAACCAUGUGGCUGCAUUGCUGAACUCUGGGAAAUGAGUUAGAGCCAAACACGGAACUUCUACCCUGCCUUCCUGUGGGUGGAUGAUUGUACCAGUCGAGACCUAACUGGUUUCCUCCAAGACCAGCAAUCCCAAACCAGAGGAACUGUAUGAACAUCUACGCACUUACUCAGGAAACAUGAUAAAAGACACUAUGGUAAUAGUUGUAGUUCUUAGUCAGGAAACUUAGUAAAAGUCUGUGAUUAAGAGGUAAACUGUGCAGUAGUCUGAGAUCUGAAC